UAAUGCCGGAUGCUCCGACUCCUCGCAUGGGGUGUCGGGAAAGAUUUCAUCGGUAUGGGAUGGGGUCGCGUCCUAUCAGGUAGUCGGCGGGGUAACGGCCCACCGAGCCUACGACGGGUAGCCGGCCUGAGAGGGCGACCGGCCACAUUGGGACUGAGAUACGGCCCAGACUCCUACGGGAGGCAGCAGUGGGGAAUAUUGCACAAUGGGCGCAAGCCUGAUGCAGCGACGCCGCGUGCGGGAUGACGGCCUUCGGGUUGUAAACCGCUUUUGAUCGGGAGCAAGCCUUCGGGUGAGUGUACCUUUCGAAUAAGCACCGGCUAACUACGUGCCAGCAGCCGCGGUAAUACGUAGGGUGCAAGCGUUAUCCGGAAUUAUUGGGCGUAAAGGGCUCGUAGGCGGUUCGUCGCGUCCGGUGUGAAAGUCCAUCGCUUAACGGUGGAUCUGCGCCGGGUACGGGCGGGCUGGAGUGCGGUAGGGGAGACUGGAAUUCCCGGUGUAACGGUGGAAUGUGUAGAUAUCGGAAAAGAAC
RNAcentral lists this ribosomal RNA (532 nucleotides) under Bifidobacterium pseudocatenulatum. RNAcentral describes it as "bacterial SSU rRNA". It matches the Rfam family "Bacterial small subunit ribosomal RNA", at positions 164 to 707 of the family's 1533-position model. The record is from RNAcentral. Lineage: Bacteria; Bacillati; Actinomycetota; Actinomycetes; Bifidobacteriales; Bifidobacteriaceae.